Molecule: ribosomal RNA, 499 nt
Filed under: uncultured bacterium
Lineage: Bacteria
Description: partial 16S ribosomal RNA
Rfam family: Bacterial small subunit ribosomal RNA
Source: RNAcentral
AUUGAACGCUGGCGGCAUGCCUUACACAUGCAAGUCGAACGGCAGCACGGGAGCAAUCCUGGUGGCGAGUGGCGAACGGGUGAGUAAAGCAUCGGAACGUGCCCAGUCGUGGGGGAUAACGUAGCGAAAGCUACGCUAAUACCGCAUACGAUCUGUGGAUGAAAGCGGGGACCGUAAGGCCUCGCGCGAUUGGAGCGGCCGAUGUCAGAUUAGGUAGUUGGUGAGGUAAAGGCUCACCAAGCCGACGAUCUGUAGCUGGUCUGAGAGGACGACCAGCCACACUGGGACUGAGACACAGCCCAGACUCCUACGGGAGGCAGCAGUGGGGAAUUUUGGACAAUGGGCGCAAGCCUGAUCCAGCAAUGCCGCGUGCAGGAUGAAGGCCUUCGGGUUGUAAACUGCUUUUGUACGGAGCGAAACGGCUUCCACUAAUACUGGGGGCUAAUGACGGUACCGUAAGAAUAAGCACCGGCUAACUACGUGCCAGCCGCCGCAGUAA